Molecule: ribosomal RNA, 484 nt
Filed under: uncultured bacterium
Lineage: Bacteria
Description: bacterial SSU rRNA
Rfam family: Bacterial small subunit ribosomal RNA
Source: RNAcentral
GAUGAACGCUAGCGGCAGGCCUAACACAUGCAAGUCGAGGGGUAGAGUUAGCUUGCUAACUUGAGACCGGCGCACGGGUGCGUAACGCGUAUGCAAUCUACCUUAUACAGAGGGAUAGCCCAGAGAAAUUUGGAUUAAUACCUCAUAGUAUUAUCGAGUGGCAUCAUUUGAUAAUUAAAGUUCCAACGGUAUAAGAUGAGCAUGCGUCCCAUUAGUUAGUUGGUAAGGUAACGGCUUACCAAGACUAUGAUGGGUAGGGGUCCUGAGAGGGAGAUCCCCCACACUGGUACUGAGACACGGACCAGACUCCUACGGGAGGCAGCAGUGAGGAAUAUUGGACAAUGGGCGCAAGCCUGAUCCAGCCAUGCCGCGUGCAGGAAGACGGUCCUAUGGAUUGUAAACUGCUUUUAUACAGGAAGAAACAUCUCUACGUGUAGAGACUUGACGGUACUGUAAGAAUAAGGAUCGGCUAACUCCGUGCCAG